GAGUAAUGUCUGGGAAACUGCCUGAUGGAGGGGGAUAACUACUGGAAACGGUGGCUAAUACCGCAUAACGUCGCAAGACCAAAGAGGGGGACCUUCGGGCCUCUUGCCAUCAGAUGUGCCCAGAUGGGAUUAGCUUGUUGGUGAGGUAACGGCUCACCAAGGCGACGAUCCCUAGCUGGUCUGAGAGGAUGACCAGCCACACUGGAACUGAGACACGGUCCAGACUCCUACGGGAGGCAGCAGUGGGGAAUAUUGCACAAUGGGCGCAAGCCUGAUGCAGCCAUGCCGCGUGUAUGAAGAAGGCCUUCGGGUUGUAAAGUACUUUCAGCGGGGAGGAAGGUGUUGUGGUUAAUAACCGCAGCAAUUGACGUUACCCGCAGAAGAAGCACCGGCUAACUCCGUGCCAGCAGCCGCGGUAAUACGGAGGGUGCAAGCGUUAAUCGGAAUUACUGGGCGUAAAGCGCACGCAGGCGGUCUGUCAAGUCGGAUGUGAAAUCCCCGGGCUCAACCUGGGAACUGCAUUCGAAACUGGCAGGCUUGAGUCUUGUAGAGGGGGGUAGAAUUCCAGGUGUAGCGGUGAAAUGCGUAGAGAUCUGGAGGAAUACCGGUGGCGAAGGCGGCCCCCUGGACAAAGACUGACGCUCAGGUGCGAAAGCGUGGGGAGCAAACAGGAUUAGAUACCCUGGUAGUCCACGCCGUAAACGAUGUCUACUUGGAGGUUGUGCCCUUGAGGCGUGGCUUCCGGAGCUAACGCGUUAAGUAGACCGCCUGGGGAGUACGGCCGCAAGGUUAAAACUCAAAUGAAUUGACGGGGGCCCGCACAAGCGGUGGAGCAUGUGGUUUAAUUCGAUGCAACGCGAAGAACCUUACCUGGUCUUGACAUCCACAGAACUUUCCAGAGAUGGAUUGGUGCCUUCGGGAACUGUGAGACAGGUGCUGCAUGGCUGUCGUCAGCUCGUGUUGUGAAAUGUUGGGUUAAGUCCCGCAACGAGCGCAACCCUUAUCCUUUGUUGCCAGCGGUUAGGCCGGGAACUCAAAGGAGACUGCCAGUGAUAAACUGGAGGAAGGUGGGGAUGACGUCAAGUCAUCAUGGCCCUUACGACCAGGGCUACACACGUGCUACAAUGGCGCAUACAAAGAGAAGCGACCUCGCGAGAGCAAGCGGACCUCAUAAAGUGCGUCGUAGUCCGGAUUGGAGUCUGCAACUCGACUCCAUGAAGUCGGAAUCGCUAGUAAUCGUGGAUCAGAAUGCCACGGUGAAUACGUUCCCGGGCCUUGUACACACCGCCCGUCACACCAUGGGAGUGGGUUGCAAAAGAAGUAGGUAGCUUAACCUUCGGGAGGGCGCUUACCACUUUGUGAUUCAUGACUGGGGUGAAGUCGUAACAAGGUAACCGUAGGGGAACCUGCGGUUGGAUCACCUCCUUACCUGAAAGAA
RNAcentral lists this ribosomal RNA (1438 nucleotides) under Salmonella enterica subsp. enterica serovar Saintpaul. Its description in RNAcentral is "bacterial SSU rRNA". It matches the Rfam family "Bacterial small subunit ribosomal RNA". The record is from RNAcentral. Lineage: Bacteria; Pseudomonadati; Pseudomonadota; Gammaproteobacteria; Enterobacterales; Enterobacteriaceae.